GACGAACGCUGGCGGCGUGCUUAACACAUGCAAGUCGAACGGAAAGGCCCUGCUUUUGUGGGGUGCUCGAUUGGCGAACGGGUGAGUAACACGUGAGUAACCUGCCCUUGACUUUGGGAUAACUUCAGGAAGCUGGGGCUAAUACCGGAUAGGAGCUCCUGCUGCAUGGUGGGGGUUGGAAAGUUUCGGCGGUUGGGGAUGGACUCGCGGCUUAUCAGCUUGUUGGUGGGGUAGUGGCUUACCAAGGCUUUGACGGGUAGCCUGCCUGAGAGGGUGACCGGCCACAUGGGGACUGAGAUACGGCCCAGACGCCUACGGGAGGCAGCAGUGGGAAAUAUUGCACAGUGGGCGGAAGCCUGAUGCAGCAACGCCGCGUGCGGGAUGACGGCCUUCGGGGUGUAAACCGCUUUCGCCUGUGACGAAGCGUGAGUGACGGUAAUGGGUAAAGAAGCACCGGCUAACUACGUG
RNAcentral lists this ribosomal RNA (468 nucleotides) under uncultured bacterium. Its description in RNAcentral is "partial 16S ribosomal RNA". It matches the Rfam family "Bacterial small subunit ribosomal RNA", at positions 28 to 507 of the family's 1533-position model. The record is from RNAcentral.